UUCUGACAGCGAAAGCUGACAUUAGCCACGACAGGAGAAAUAACAUG
This 47-nucleotide non-coding RNA is filed under the name unclassified sequences. The record is from RNAcentral.